RNAcentral lists this ribosomal RNA (241 nucleotides) under uncultured bacterium. Its description in RNAcentral is "partial 16S ribosomal RNA". It matches the Rfam family "Bacterial small subunit ribosomal RNA", at positions 536 to 776 of the family's 1533-position model. The record is from RNAcentral.
UAGCGUUGCUCGGAAUCACUGGGCGUAAAGGGCGCGUAGGCGGCGAUUUAAGUCGGGGGUGAAAGCCUGUGGCUCAACCACAGAAUGGCCUUCGAUACUGGGACGCUUGAGUAUGGUAGAGGUUGGUGGAACUGCGAGUGUAGAGGUGAAAUUCGUAGAUAUUCGCAAGAACACCGGUGGCGAAGGCGGCCAACUGGACCAUUACUGACGCUGAGGCGCGAAAGCGUGGGGAGCAAACAGG